This 120-nucleotide ribosomal RNA is filed under the name Helianthus annuus (common sunflower). Lineage: Eukaryota; Viridiplantae; Streptophyta; Magnoliopsida; Asterales; Asteraceae. The record is from RNAcentral. RNAcentral also lists the same sequence under 1 other name.
GGUUGCGAUCAUACCAGCACUAAUGCACCGGAUCCCAUCAGAACCCCGCAGUUAAGCGUGCUUGGGCGAGAGUAGUACUAGGAUGGGUGACCCCCUGGGAAGUCCUCGUGUUGCAACCCC